This 513-nucleotide ribosomal RNA is filed under the name uncultured bacterium. RNAcentral's name for it is "partial 16S ribosomal RNA". It matches the Rfam family "Bacterial small subunit ribosomal RNA", at positions 30 to 523 of the family's 1533-position model. The record is from RNAcentral.
AUUGAACGCUGGCGGCAUGCCUAACACAUGCAAGUCGAACGGCAGCACAGUAAAGAUUUCGGUCUUUAUGGGUGGCGAGUGGCGGACGGGUGAGUAAUGCGUAGGAAUCUGUCCUGGAGAGUAGGAUAACCCGAGGAAACUCGGGCUAAUACUGCAUGAUAUCGAGAGAUCAAAGGCAGGGGACCCUUCGGGGCCUUGCGCUCUAGGAUGAGCCUACGUCGGAUUAGCUAGUUGGUGGGGUAAAGGCCUACCAAGGCGACGAUCCGUAGCUGGGCUGGAGGGAUGACCGGCCACACUGGGACUGAGACACGGCCCAGACUCCUACGGGAGGCAGCAGUGGGGAAUCUUGGACAAUGGGGGAAACCCUGAUCCAGCGAUGCCGCGUGUGUGAAGAAGGCCUUCGGGUUGUAAAGCACUUUAGUUGGGGAAGAAAAGUAAUGAGUGAAUAACUGAUUGCUCUGACGGUACCCAAAGAAUAAGCACCGGCUAACUCUGUGCCAGCAGCCGCCGUAA